CCUACGGGUGGCAGCAGUGAGGAAUAUUGGUCAAUGGGCGGGAGCCUGAACCAGCCAAGUAGCGUGAAGGAUGACAGCCCUACGGGUUGUAAACUUCUUUUAUAAGGGAAUAAAGUGCGGCACGUGUGGCGUUUUGUAUGUACUUUAUGAAUAAGCAUCGGCUAACUCCGUGCCAGCAGCCGCGGUAAUACGGAGGAUGCGAGCGUUAUCCGGAUUUAUUGGGUUUAAAGGGAGCGUAGAUGGGUUGCUAAGUCAGUCGUGAAAGUUUGCGGCUCAACCGUAACAGUGCAAUUGAUACUGGCAGCCUUGAGUACACGUAAGGUAGGUGGAAUUCGUGGUGUAGCGGUGAAAUGCUUAGAUAUCACGAAGAACUCCGAUCGCGAAGGCAUUGUACCAAACUGACACUGACACUGAGGCUCGAAAGUGCGGGUAUCAAACAGGAUUAGAUACCCGAGUAGUC
This 460-nucleotide ribosomal RNA is filed under the name uncultured bacterium. RNAcentral describes it as "partial 16S ribosomal RNA". It matches the Rfam family "Bacterial small subunit ribosomal RNA", at positions 338 to 795 of the family's 1533-position model. The record is from RNAcentral.